Long non-coding RNA from Stegostoma tigrinum, 4378 nucleotides. RefSeq lists it as uncharacterized. Lineage: Eukaryota; Metazoa; Chordata; Chondrichthyes; Orectolobiformes; Stegostomatidae. The transcript is spliced from 3 exons. The record is from RefSeq and is a predicted model, not a curated record.
CAGAAUUUGUUCUAAUUCAACAGAUUUUGAAACUUCAAAAUACCUUGUGUGCUAUUUUGCGUAAUGCACAUGUCUAACCUAAAGUGUGUUUGUAAUUGUAGGAAAAUAGCUAGUGGUACCUCAGUUUUUAUCUACAUUCCUGGCUCGAGAUGAAUGUGGACUGAAAAUAUACACCUUCAUUGCAGAAGGAGAAAAUGAAUUUCUGUUCACAGUGGGAAAUGAUAAUUACGUUUGCCCUGUAUGUUGCUAAAAUAUGUCAAUAAGGAAAAGUAAGUAUUUGGAACGACACAACAAUGCACAAUGAAUUAAAAGGUGUUUUUCAUGAGAAUAGCACGCCUUGGACAAAGAAAGUUGACAAGUUGAAUGCCACUUUGAAAACUCAGCAGUCAUUUUAUCUAAGAUAGCAGCAAAGGAUCAGAAAGGCCUGUAUUGAAGCAAGAUUUCAACUUUGCCAUCCUCUGGCAGAAGAGAAAUCAUUCAUAGAUGGCAAAGUAAUUAAAGAAGCAAUCACUGUCGCUGCUGACUCAUUAUUUGAAGAUUUCAAAAUCAAAGAAGGAACAAUAACAGCAAUCUAGAGCAAAUUACUUGAUGCUUCUACAGUUGCAAGAGAAAUUGAACUUUUUUCUGAAAAUGACAAUCCGGACUUAAGGUUAGUAUCAGAUAGCAUGUAGCCACAGUUACCAUACUGAGACUUGGUGAGCAGAGGCCAAAUAUAUAUUUAUAUAUAAUUGAUUUUAGACUUAUAUAUAGUGUAAAUUAAAUAUUUUACAAUGCAAUUAAAUUUAGUUCAACAAGUGAUCCUGUGCUUAAAAUGGCCAGAGACCACUAAUCUACGACUGACGGCGCAGUCUCAGAUUAAGUGCUCCCCUGUUUACAACAGAUGAAAAGGAAUUUCUUGAUGUUAGUGAAUCUGUGGAAUUCUUUACAAUGAGGAGUGUAGAGUAUAGCUGAUCUGACUACCUGAAGUACACGUUUUUCACCAAUUAGGGAAUCAAAGCUUAUGGAAAAAGGCAGGAAAGUGGAGUUGAGAAUUAUCAGAUUAGCCACACUCAGUUGUCUCAAUGGGCUUAAUGGUCUUCUGCUCCAGCAUCUUAGAGUGUUAUGGUUUUACUAUAUGAAGCUGCUAUACAAAUACACUUUUUGAGAAUCAGUUAGAUCAGGUUGACUAUGAAUUUAGGUCUCUGAUUUCUAAAUGUAAUACCUUGAGACUAAGAUUAGCUGUGACUAAGGGUCACCAUCUAAUUAUCAGCUUGCUUUGAAGUUUGCUGCCAACAGCCCCUCGCCAGAAACAAUAAUGGCCCAAGUUAGUGAAAGAAAUUAGGCCAGUUCUCGGGAGGCUGUUUUUUUGUUUACUGGAACAUGAUGUGAACUCAUGUAACAGCAGAUUCCUGCCGCACACUUGUUUCCUGAUUUCGAUUUCUCACCUGAUUGUGUUGGAACAGUUCGUGCGUUUCAAACAGAUCACCACCGAUUUCCUUGCUGACAAUUAGUUCUUGCGGUGAAACAAAGCUCUUUGUGGAGGGAGAAGGUUUAAUUUAAAAUCAAUCUAUGCAUCAGAACAUUGCUCGUUGGAAGGAGAUGAUGAUUUGAUUCCUCCACUUGAACAUUGCAUCAGGACAAAGUGGAAGGGAGCAUUUGUUGACUGGAAUGGAACGGACCCAAUUCUGUGAGAAGCUCGAUUAUCGUCUCUGAGGUUGAACCUGGAUCAUGUGGCCCGGGGGACUGAGAGGUGCAAAAACCAAACACCAACACCUUCGCUUCUGAAGUGCUGCAGAUAAUAGCAGGAUAGAUCUUAAAAUGUGUCUGUCAUCGGAUGGCACCCAACAACACCUCCAUCAGUUAAUUUACCUCAUUUCUUCUGAACGUGUAGCGGUGGGGGUUGGGGGAAAAGUGGAGAUUGUGAGUUGAAGGCCGUAAAUUCGGGAAAGUAGUGACCUGGCUUAUCUGCCAGUCUCCCAAAUGAACUGCCAGAAUGUGAUAUUUGGUAUGCUACCAUGCCUAUUCAAUUCGGGUUAUUCUAUAGGAUUGAAGAUCUUCCCUAUUGUUAAUAACGUGGAACCCAAAGUGAAAAUUAGACACUAUCAAAAUGGGCAAGUUUGUUGGGCAAGGUUAAUGGCCUGUGGCAGUGCUGAAGGGGCUGAGCGCUGUAGGAGAUGCUGAGUGAUUCUCUGAAAAGUUGUCUUGGAUUCAGCAAAUGCAACCUUUUAGAGGGUUGUGUUCAAUUUUAUCGUUUUUUUUGUUUUAAACAAUUUAAGAAAUUACUGAAGUAGGAAAUUGGACCAAAACCAAUUUUUCCUGUUCAAUAAGGAUGCUAAAGGCUCUGGUUCGAUGGGAGAUCGCAGGUUCACAGUUGCUUGAUAGUGACUUCAGUAAACUCAUGAAUGCCUUUUACCUGUUAGCCACCAUACUAUCCACUUGUUGCUAAAAACAAUAAUGUUGCAUGUUUAAAAGAAAAAUGGCUUUUAUUAGCUCAUGCAGCUAAUUUUUUUAGAUCAUGAGUUACAACUUAUGAUUUCCACCGAGAUAGUAGAGGUCAAAGGUUGUACCGUGUACCUUAAAAGAAUGGUCAACAUGGACCAGAAGCUGGAGUUUCGAGGCUUUACCUGAGCAAAGCCUCAGGACACAUUUCAAUAAGUGAGGCAACUUUAUUGUACCCUUAGAAGCAGCUGGCCACUGUACUUCAGUCUGGUUAGAGCUAGGUCUCUUGCUGGCAGUGGCCCGCAGUGAACGAGAUGUAGGGAUGGGCCAAUAUGUGGUGUACCUUCCAGGCUGCACAGCAACCUGUAAGUUCUGGAAUUGACCAUACACUGCAAAAGAAUUUGAAAUCCCUUUAGGAGCCCACAUAAUUAUGCCGUGUGUUGAUGGAGUAAUCCUGAGCAGAAGAGUCCCUACAGGCUGCUCUGCCCUGUUCAGAUUCUGGGACACAAUCUUGGGCAUCUGACUGUGAAACCUGGCAAACCAUUUCUGCCAUGAGAUGGUGCCCAUAACAUUGACAUAAUUCAAAUUCAUACUGUACCAUGUUCCUUUUUCCCCAAUGAGGAGCAUUUUCUCCCACCUCACUGUGGUUGAAAAAUAAAGGGAAUAGUGUAAUGUUUCUUUGUUCCCAAAUAGAGUCUGAGAAUUUUUAGGAACGAAAAAUAAACCAACAGACCUCAAAGCCUGAUCCUACUACCCUGUUAUGAUUUUUCUCUGUGUUCCUUAAAGAUAUUUAUUUCAAGUAAGCAUCUAUCCCUUUAUUUGCUGCCCUAAUUGAUUUUGUAUUUACAUCCUACUGGUUCAGUGUUUUUAUGUUUGUCUUGAUUCUGCUUUUAAUCAAGGAUUCAUCUACAAAAAGUGUCUUCUCCACAAACUGCAGGUUGAUACAAACAAUUUCAUGACUCCCUUUUUUGAGGAGUUGCACUUUUUCAAGUAUGUGUUGGCUAGCAUUUGUUACUGAAGCAACUUGACCAGCACCACUAAAACCGAUGAAUGGCCAUUUUGAUUUCAUAGCAACCUAUGGGAUCUUGGCCUGUAUAAGCUGAUUGCCAUCUUUGACAAGUUGAAGAUUCAUCAGCUCGGAAGCAUUUUGGGAUGUCUUGGAUCUAUAAAAGGAGCUGCAUUACUUGACAUUGUUCUUUUCAUUCUCUCCUUCCUUCCUUCCUUCAUCUUUCCCAAGGAUUACAUUUCACUAAAUUCAAUCCAGUGGUGUCAUCUUCCAAACUCAACCCCACCUUACCACCUCAUAGGACAGCCUUAGGGCCUCAUCACUACCAGCUCAGACAUUAUUCUGCUGGUUUCAGCCCGAAUGCCAGUGCUGUUUUACAUAUAUAAGCCCUUGGAGUAAAAUGCCUGCGUCCCAACCCGCUUUCCAUCUGUUGAGCAGGAUUACCUCCUAUUCCUUGUGCUUCGUUUUGAGCUGGCAAGCCUGUUGUGCAGAGCCUUUUAAACGUGACAGAAAUAAAAAUGUUCCCUAAUCAGCUUCUGCGUUUAGUGCACUUGCCUUAAAUGUCCGCAUGAUAAAGUUGUUUACAGUAAUCUCCAGCCUCGUGUUGUAUAACUGGUUGUCAAGGAAUUAAAAAGCAGCCAUUAUGUUUGGCUUUGUUGGAUAUCUGUUGCCUUUAAUUUGUUUGAUGCAAGAAAUGUGCAUGUGUGUGCACAAAUAUGUGUAUUAAUGUAUGUCUGAGUCUUCCUGGUUAUUACAUGGAGCCAAACAAUGAGAGACCGAGCUGUUGUAUUAUUUUGUGUGCAGUAAGUUGAUGCUGUGGACUUUCUGAAGAAUUGCUGUUUUGUUUGUAAGAGUGAAAUGAAAUAAUGGUUAAUUUAUUGAAAACCUUUCAUUUGUGUCCUGUGCCACCUGUACACACCAAUAAUGCCUUCACGUGCUGCAGAAUAAAAAGAA